RNAcentral lists this ribosomal RNA (253 nucleotides) under uncultured bacterium. RNAcentral describes it as "partial 16S ribosomal RNA". It matches the Rfam family "Bacterial small subunit ribosomal RNA", at positions 524 to 776 of the family's 1533-position model. The record is from RNAcentral.
UACAGAGGGUGCGAGCGUUAAUCGGAAUUACUGGGCGUAAAGCGUGCGUAGCCGGUUAUUUAAGUCAGAUGUGAAAUCCCCGGGCUCAACCUGGGAAUGGCAUUUGAGACUGGUUAGCUAGAGUGUGUCAGAGGGGGGUAGAAUUCCACGUGUAGCAGUGAAAUGCGUAGAUAUGCGGAGGAACACCGAUGGCGAAGGCAAUCCCCUGGGCCUGCACUGACGCUCAUGCACGAAAGCGUGGGGAGCAAACAGG